CCAGUGCAACAGAGAGCAAACCGCCGAUGGCCCGCGUAAGCGGGAUCAGGUAAGGGUGAAAGGGUGCGGUAAGAGCGCACCGCGCGGCUGGUAACAGUCCGUGGCACGGUAAACUCCACCCGGAGCAAGGCCAAAUAGGGGUUCAUAAGGUACGGCCCGUACUGAACCCGGGUAGGCUGCUUGAGCCAGUGAGCGAUUGCUGGCCUAGAUGAAUGACUGUCCACGACAGAACCCGGCUUAUCGGUCAGUUUCACCU
RNAcentral lists this RNase P RNA (256 nucleotides) under Escherichia coli. RNAcentral's name for it is "partial RNase P RNA component class A". It matches the Rfam family "Bacterial RNase P class A", at positions 106 to 367 of the family's 367-position model. Rfam says of the family: Ribonuclease P (RNase P) is a ubiquitous endoribonuclease, found in archaea, bacteria and eukarya as well as chloroplasts and mitochondria. Its best characterised activity is the generation of mature 5'-ends of tRNAs by cleaving the 5'-leader elements of precursor-tRNAs. The record is from RNAcentral. Lineage: Bacteria; Pseudomonadati; Pseudomonadota; Gammaproteobacteria; Enterobacterales; Enterobacteriaceae.